CAGCCGCCGCGGGAAUACAGAGGGUGCGAGCGUUAAUCGGAUUUACUGGGCGUAAAGCGUGCGUAGGCGGCUAAUUGAGUCGGAUGUGAAAUCCCCGAGCUUAACUUGGGAAUUGCAUUCGAUACUGGUUAGCUAGAGUGUGGGAGAGGAUGGUAGAAUUCCAGGUGUAGCGGUGAAAUGCGUAGAGAUCUGGAGGAAUACCGAUGGCGAAGGCAGCCAUCUGGCCUAACACUGACGCUGAGGUACGAAAGCAUGGGGAGCAAACAGGAUUAGAUACCCGGGUAGUCCCUGUCUCUUAUAU
Molecule: ribosomal RNA, 301 nt
Filed under: uncultured bacterium
Lineage: Bacteria
Description: partial 16S ribosomal RNA
Rfam family: Bacterial small subunit ribosomal RNA
Source: RNAcentral